UACGGGGGGAGCAAGCGUUGUUCGGAUUUACUGGGCGUAAAGGGCGCGUAGGCGGCCACCGCAAGUCGGUUGUGAAAUCUCUGGGCUUAACCCAGAAAGGUCAAUCGAUACUGCGGGGCUAGAGUGCAGAAGGGGCAACCGGAAUUCUCGGUGUAGCGGUGAAAUGCGUAGAUAUCAAGAGGAACACCUGCGGCGAAGGCGGGUUGCUGGGCCGACACGUGACGCUGAGGCGCGAAAGCGUGGGUAGCGAACAGG
RNAcentral lists this ribosomal RNA (255 nucleotides) under uncultured bacterium. Its description in RNAcentral is "partial 16S ribosomal RNA". It matches the Rfam family "Bacterial small subunit ribosomal RNA", at positions 524 to 776 of the family's 1533-position model. The record is from RNAcentral.